UACGUAGGUGGCAGGCGUUGUCCGGAUUUACUGGGUGUAAAGGGCGUGUAGCCGGGCUUACAAGUCAGAUGUGAAAUCCGGGGGCUCAACCCCCGAACUGCAUUUGAAACUGUAGGUCUUGAGUAUCGGAGAGGCAGGCGGAAUUCCUAGUGUAGCGGUGAAAUGCGUAGAUAUUAGGAGGAACACCAGUGGCGAAGGCGGCCUGCUGGACGACAACUGACGGUGAGGCGCGAAAGCGUGGGGAGCAAACAGG
This 253-nucleotide ribosomal RNA is filed under the name uncultured bacterium. RNAcentral describes it as "partial 16S ribosomal RNA". It matches the Rfam family "Bacterial small subunit ribosomal RNA", at positions 524 to 776 of the family's 1533-position model. The record is from RNAcentral.